UAGGGAAUCUUCCGCAAUGGGCGAAAGCCUGACGGAGCAACGCCGCGUGAGUGAUGAAGGUCUUCGGAUCGUAAAACUCUGUUAUUAGGGAAGAACAAAUGUGUAAGUAACUAUGCACGUCUUGACGGUACCUAAUCAGAAAGCCACGGCUAACUACGUGCCAGCAGCCGCGGUAAUACGUAGGUGGCAAGCGUUAUCCGGAAUUAUUGGGCGUAAAGCGCGCGUAGGCGGUUUUUUAAGUCUGAUGUGAAAGCCCACGGCUCAACCGUGGAGGGUCAUUGGAAACUGGAAAACUUGAGUGCAGAAGAGGAAAGUGGAAUUCCAUGUGUAGCGGUGAAAUGCGCAGAGAUAUGGAGGAACACCAGUGGCGAAGGCGACAUUCUGGUCUGUAACUGACGCUGAUGUGCGAAAGCGUGGGGAUCAAACAGG
RNAcentral lists this ribosomal RNA (429 nucleotides) under Actinomycetes bacterium. Its description in RNAcentral is "Actinobacteria bacterium partial 16S ribosomal RNA". It matches the Rfam family "Bacterial small subunit ribosomal RNA", at positions 355 to 776 of the family's 1533-position model. Lineage: Bacteria; Bacillati; Actinomycetota; Actinomycetes. The record is from RNAcentral.